This 253-nucleotide ribosomal RNA is filed under the name uncultured bacterium. Its description in RNAcentral is "partial 16S ribosomal RNA". It matches the Rfam family "Bacterial small subunit ribosomal RNA", at positions 524 to 776 of the family's 1533-position model. The record is from RNAcentral.
UACGGAGGGUGCAAGCGUUAUUCGGAAUUAUUGGGCGUAAAGAGCGCGUAGGCGGCCUGUCAAGUCAGGUGUGAAAUCCCGGGGCUCAACCCCGGAAGCGCAUUUGAUACUGUAGGGCUUGAGUAUGGGAGAGGGAAGUGGAAUUCCUGGUGUAGCGGUGAAAUGCGUAGAUAUCAGGAGGAACACCGGUGGCGAAGGCGGCUUCCUGGACCAAUACUGACGCUGAGGCGCGAAGGCGUGGGGAGCAAACAGG